GCGAGAAGCCCGCAAGGGUGAGUAAAGCGGCGCACGGGUGAGUAACACGUGGGUAAUCUUCCUUGGAGCCCGGAAUAACUCCCCGAAAGGGGUGCUAAUGCCGGAUGAGACCACGGGAUCUCCGGAUCCUGAGGGAAAAGGCGGCCUCUGUACACAAGCUGUCACUCCAAGAUGAGCCCGCGGCCCAUCAGCUAGUUGGCGGGGUAAUGGCCCACCAAGGCAUCGACGGGUAGCUGGUCUGAGAGGACGAUCAGCCACACUGGAACUGAGACACGGUCCAGACUCCUACGGGAGGCAGCAGUGGGGAAUUUUGCGCAAUGGGCGAAAGCCUGACGCAGCAACGCCGCGUGUGUGAUGAAGGUCUUCGGAUCGUAAAGCACUGUCGGGAGGGACGAAUAAGGCGGCGGCUAAUAUCCGCAGCCGAUGACGGUACCUCCAAAGGAAGCACCGGCUAACUCUGUGCCAGCAGCCGCGGUAAUACAGAGGGUGCAAGCGUUGUUCGGAAUUAUUGGGCGUAAAGCGCGUGUAGGCGGCCUUGCAAGUUGGGUGUGAAAGCCCUCGGCUUAACCGAGGAAGUGCGCCCAAAACUACAGGGCUUGAGUACCGGAGAGGGUGGCGGAAUUCCCGGUGUAGAGGUGAAAUUCGUAGAUAUCGGGAGGAACACCAGUGGCGAAGGCGGCCACCUGGACGGAUACUGACGC
This 701-nucleotide ribosomal RNA is filed under the name uncultured bacterium. RNAcentral describes it as "bacterial SSU rRNA". It matches the Rfam family "Bacterial small subunit ribosomal RNA", at positions 66 to 746 of the family's 1533-position model. The record is from RNAcentral.